CUUCCGUAGGGGUAACCUGCGGAGGGAUCAUUAUUAGAAGCCGAAAGGCUACUUAAAACCAUCGCGAACUCGUCCAAGUUGCUUCGGCGGCGCGGCCUCCCUCACGGGGGCGCCGCAGCCCCGCCUCUCCGGAGGUGUGGGGCGCCCGCCGGAGGUACGAAACUCUGUAUUAUAGUGGCAUCUCUGAGUAAAAAACAAAUAAGUUAAAACUUUCAACAACGGAUCUCUUGGUUCUGGCAUCGAUGAAGAACGCAGCGAAAUGCGAUAAGUAAUGUGAAUUGCAGAAUUCAGUGAAUCAUCGAAUCUUUGAACGCACAUUGCGCCCGCUAGUACUCUAGCGGGCAUGCCUGUUCGAGCGUCAUUUCAACCCUCAAGCCCUGCUUGGUGUUGGGGCCCUACGGCUGCCGUAGGCCCUGAAAGGAAGUGGCGGGCUCGCUACAACUCCGAGCGUAGUAAUUCAUUAUCUCGCUAGGGACGUUGCGGCGCGCUCCUGCCGUUAAAGACCAUCUUUAACUCAAGGUUGACCUCGGAUCAGGUAGGAAUACCCGCUGAACUUAAGCAUAUCAAAAGGCCCGGAGGAAA
This 582-nucleotide ribosomal RNA is filed under the name Coniochaeta sp. Sigrf08. Its description in RNAcentral is "eukaryotic LSU rRNA". The stretch from base 208 to 361 matches the Rfam family "5.8S ribosomal RNA". Lineage: Eukaryota; Fungi; Ascomycota; Sordariomycetes; Coniochaetales; Coniochaetaceae. The record is from RNAcentral.